Molecule: non-coding RNA, 30 nt
Filed under: Mus musculus (house mouse)
Lineage: Eukaryota; Metazoa; Chordata; Mammalia; Rodentia; Muridae
Source: RNAcentral
UACUAAGAAUCAGAUUGUAAAACCCACGUA